RNAcentral lists this ribosomal RNA (411 nucleotides) under uncultured bacterium. RNAcentral describes it as "bacterial SSU rRNA". It matches the Rfam family "Bacterial small subunit ribosomal RNA", at positions 42 to 455 of the family's 1533-position model. The record is from RNAcentral.
GCGUGGGUCUAGCAUCAGUCGUAACGGGCCAUGUCCUUCGGGCAUGGUUAGUGGCGGACGGGUGAGUAACACGUAAGCAACCUGCCCGGAAGUGGGGAAUAACUAGCCGAAAGGCUGGCUAAUACCGCAUGUGAUGGCUCUUCCCUGGAGGAGUCAUUAAAGGCGAAAGUCGCUUCUGGAGGGGCUUGCGGCCGAUUAGCUAGUUGGUGGGGUAAUGGCCUACCAAGGCAUCGAUCGGUAGCUGGUCUGAGAGGACGGUCAGCCACACGGGGACUGAGAUACGGCCCCGACUCCUACGGGAGGCAGCAGCUAGGAAUCUUGGGAAUGGGCGAAGAGCCUGACCCAGCAACGCCGCGUGGGCGAUUGAAGGCCUUCGGGUCGUAAAGCCCUUUUGCAGGGGACGAUGAUGAC